AUAAGCGGAGGAAAAGAAACCAACAGGGAUUGCCUUAGUAACGGCGAGUGAAGCGGCAACAGCUCAAAUUUGAAAUCUGGCCCUUGGGUCCGAAUUGUAAUUUGUAGAGGAUGAUUUUGGUGCGGUAUCUUCCGAGUUCCUUGGAACAGGACGCCUUAGAGGGUGAGAGCCCCGUACGGUUGAAUGCCUAGCCUCUGUAAAUCUCCUUCGACGAGUCGAGUAGUUUGGGAAUGCUGCUCUAAAUGGGAGGUAAAUUUCUUCUAAAGCUAAAUAUUGGCCAGAGACCGAUAGCGCACAAGUAGAGUGAUCGAAAGAUGAAAAGCACUUUGAAAAGAGGGUUAAAUAGCACGUGAAAUUGUUGAAAGGGAAGGAUUUGUGACCAGACUUUUUCUGGGCGGAUCAUCCGGGGUUCUCUCCGGUGCACUUCGCCCAGUAAAGGCCAGCAUCGGUUUUCGGCGUGGGAUAAAAGCAGUAGGAAUGUGGCUCUCUACGGGGAGUGUUAUAGCCUAUUGUAUAAUACCGCGCUGGGGACCGAGGUUCGCGCUUCUGCAAGGAUGCUGGCGUAAUGGUUAUCAAUCACCCGUCUUGAAACACGGACCAAGGAGUCGAACAUUUGUGCGAGUGUUUGGGUGUUAAACCCUCACGCGUAAUGAAAGUGAACGGAGGUGAGAGCCCUUACGGGUGCAUCAUCGACCGAUCCUGAAGUUUUCGGAUGGAUUUGAGUAAGAGCAUAACUGUUCGGACCCGAAAGAUGGUGAACUAUGCGUGGAUAGGGUGAAGCCAGAGGAAACUCUGGUGGAGGCUCGCAGCGGUUCUGACGUGCAAAUCGAUCGUCAAAUCUGCGCAUGGGGGCGAAAGACUAAUCGAACCAUCUAGUAGCUGGUUACCGC
This 890-nucleotide ribosomal RNA is filed under the name Neopestalotiopsis egyptiaca. Its description in RNAcentral is "eukaryotic LSU rRNA". It matches the Rfam family "Eukaryotic large subunit ribosomal RNA", at positions 46 to 961 of the family's 3401-position model. The record is from RNAcentral. Lineage: Eukaryota; Fungi; Ascomycota; Sordariomycetes; Amphisphaeriales; Sporocadaceae.